CGGGGGAUCUUGGGGUUAAUUUGGAACCACCGGGAGGACCUUUCCUGGCCCUGGCCAUGCGGGGACCUUUCCAAGGAGGGAUGGGUCCUUUGGGAAAUUGAGCCCCGGUUGCGCCAGGGCGGUGUUCAGUUGUGUUCUUGGGAGGUUGGGUUAAGUCCGCAACGAGGGCCAACCCUGGCCUUUAGUUCCCACCACCAAGGGUGUCACUCUAAGAGUUGCCAUCCUC
RNAcentral lists this ribosomal RNA (226 nucleotides) under bacterium LB96. Its description in RNAcentral is "partial 16S ribosomal RNA". The record is from RNAcentral.